Molecule: ribosomal RNA, 429 nt
Filed under: uncultured bacterium
Lineage: Bacteria
Description: bacterial SSU rRNA
Rfam family: Bacterial small subunit ribosomal RNA
Source: RNAcentral
UGGGGAAUAUUGGGCAAUGGGCGAAAGCCUGACCCAGCGACGCCGCGUGGGUGAUGAAGGCCUUCGGGUUGUAAAGCCCUUUCGUGCGGAAAGAACAGUCCCGUGGUUAAUACCCGCGGGAUUUGACGGUACCGCAGGAAGAAGCACCGGCUAACUCCGUGCCAGCAGCCGCGGUAAUACGGAGGGUGCAAGCGUUGUUCGGAAUUACUGGGCGUAAAGGGCGCGUAGGCGGUAAUGUAAGUCAGAUGUGAAAUCCUUCGGCUUAACCGGAGAACUGCAUCUGAAACUGCAUAACUAGAGUACAGAAGAGGGAAACGGAAUUCCCGGUGUAGAGGUGAAAUUCGUAGAUAUCGGGAGGAACACCAGUGGCGAAGGCGGUUUCCUGGUCUGAUACCGACGCUGAGGCGCGAAAGCGUGGGGAGCAACCAG